Molecule: ribosomal RNA, 468 nt
Filed under: uncultured bacterium
Lineage: Bacteria
Description: partial 16S ribosomal RNA
Rfam family: Bacterial small subunit ribosomal RNA
Source: RNAcentral
GACGAACGCUGGCGGCGUGCUUAACACAUGCAAGUCGAACGGAAAGGCCCUGCUUUUGUGGGGUGCUCGAGUGGCGAACGGGUGAGUAACACGUGAGUAACCUGCCCUUGACUUUGGGAUAACUUCAGGAAACUGGGGCUACUACCGGAUAGGAGCUCCUGCUGCAUGGUGGGGGUUGGAAAGUUUCGGCGGUUGGGGAUGGACUCGCGGCUUAUCAGCUUGUUGGUGGGGUAGUGGCUUACCAAGGCUUUGACGGGUAGCCGGCCUGAGAGGGUGACCGGCCACAUUGGGACUGAGAGACGGCCCAGACUCCUACGGGAGGCAGUAGUGGGGAAUAUUGCACAAUGGGCGGAAGCCUGAUGCAGCAACGCCGCGUGCGGGAUGACGGCCUUCGGGUUGUAAACCGCUUUCGCCUGUGACGAAGCGUGAGUGACGGUAAUGGGUAAAGAAGCACCGGCUAACUACGUG